UGAGGGAAUAUUUGGGGUCAAUGGGCGAGAGCCUGAACCAGCCAAGUCGCGUGAAGGAUGAAGGUUCUAUGGAUUGUAAACUUCUUUUAUUCGAGGGUAAAGUGAGGUAUGUAUACCUUAUUGCAAGUAUCGAAUGAAUAAGCAUCGGCUAAUCCGUGCCAGCAGCCGCGGUAAUACGGAGGUCCGGGCGUUAUCCGGAUUUAUUGGGUUUAAAGGGAGCGUAGGCCGGAGAUUAAGCGUGUUGUGAAAUGUAGACGCUCAACGUCUGCACUGCAGCGCGAACUGGUUUCCUUGAGUGCGCACAAAGUGGGCGGAAUUCGUGGUGUAGCGGUGAAAUGCUUAGAUAUCACGAAGAACUCCGAUUGCGAAGGCAGCUCACUGGAGCGCAACUGACGCUGAAGCUCGAAAGUGCGGGGUAUC
This 420-nucleotide ribosomal RNA is filed under the name uncultured Prevotella sp. Its description in RNAcentral is "bacterial SSU rRNA". It matches the Rfam family "Bacterial small subunit ribosomal RNA", at positions 354 to 770 of the family's 1533-position model. The record is from RNAcentral. Lineage: Bacteria; Pseudomonadati; Bacteroidota; Bacteroidia; Bacteroidales; Prevotellaceae.